This 1494-nucleotide ribosomal RNA is filed under the name uncultured bacterium. RNAcentral describes it as "bacterial SSU rRNA". It matches the Rfam family "Bacterial small subunit ribosomal RNA". The record is from RNAcentral.
AGAGUUUGAUCCUGGCUCAGGAUGAACGCUAGCGACAGGCUUAACACAUGCAAGUCGAGGGGCAUCGGGGAUGUAGCAAUAUAUCUGCCGGCGACCGGCGCACGGGUGAGUAACACGUAUGCAAUCUACCCACAGCAGGGGAAUAACCCGGAGAAAUCCGGCCUAAUACCGCGUAGUCCCUGUCCCGGGCAUCCGGGAUGGUGUAAAGGAGCAAUCCGGCUGUGGAUGGGCAUGCGUCGCAUUAGGUAGACGGCGGGGUAACGGCCCACCGUGCCGACGAUGCGUAGGGGUUCUGAGAGGAAGAUCCCCCACACUGGUACUGAGACACGGACCAGACUCCUACGGGAGGCAGCAGUGAGGAAUAUUGGUCAAUGGCCGAGAGGCUGAACCAGACAAGUCGCGUGAGGGAAGACUGUCCUAUGGAUUGUAAACCUCUUUUGUCAGGGAGCAAAGGUUGGCCUGCGGGCCAGUUUGAGAGUACCUGAAGAAAAAGCAUCGGCUAACUCCGUGCCAGCAGCCGCGGUAAUACGGAGGAUGCGAGCGUUAUCCGGAUUUAUUGGGUUUAAAGGGUGCGCAGGCGGCUUGUCAAGCAAGCGGUAAAAUGUCGGGGCUCAACCCCGUCCGGCCGUUUGAACUGGCGAGCUUGAGUAUAUUCGAGGUAAGCGGAAUUCGUGGUGUAGCGGUGAAAUGCAUAGAUAUCACGAAGAACUCCGAUUGCGAAGGCAGCUUACCAGGAUGUUACUGACGCUCAGGCACGAAAGCGUGGGUAUCGAACAGGAUUAGAUACCCUGGUAGUCCACGCAGUAAACGAUGAGCGCUAGGUGUCCGGGACGAUUGAGUUCCGGGUGCCCGAGCGAAAGCGUUAAGCGCUCCACCUGGGGAGUACGCCGGCAACGGUGAAACUCAAAGGAAUUGACGGGGGCCCGCACAAGCGGAGGAACAUGUGGUUUAAUUCGAUGAUACGCGAGGAACCUUACCCGGGCUCAAACGACACAGGAAUAAUUUUGAAAGGAGUUAGCCAGCAAUGGUCUGUGUCGAGGUGCUGCAUGGUUGUCGUCAGCUCGUGCCGUGAGGUGUCGGCUUAAGUGCCAUAACGAGCGCAACCCCUACCGUCAGUUGCCAACGGGUAAUGCCGGGAACUCUGGCGGGACUGCCGGCGCAAGCUGUGAGGAAGGCGGGGAUGACGUCAAAUCAGCACGGCCCUUACGUCCGGGGCGACACACGUGUUACAAUGGCAGGUACAGCGGGAAGCCACCUGGUGACAGGGAGCGGAACCCGAAAGCCUGUCUCAGUUCGGAUUGGAGUCUGCAACUCGACUCCAUGAAGCUGGAUUCGCUAGUAAUCGCGCAUCAGCCAUGGCGCGGUGAAUACGUUCCCGGGCCUUGUACACACCGCCCGUCAAGCCAUGGGAGCCGGGGGUGCCUGAAGUACGUGACCGCAAGGAGCGUCCUAAGGCAAAACUGGUGACUGGGGCUAAGUCGUAACAAGGUAACC